Molecule: long non-coding RNA, 5991 nt
Organism: Bos taurus (domestic cattle)
Lineage: Eukaryota; Metazoa; Chordata; Mammalia; Artiodactyla; Bovidae
Source: Ensembl
GAUGAGAGAAGGGGGAGAACCGAAGAAAGCACCUUCUUGGAGGAUGCUCUGGACUGGGGUGCUCUGGACCGGGAUUCUCUGGACCGGGGUGCUCUGGACCGGGGUGCUCUGGACCGGGGUGCUCUGGACCGGGAUUCUCUGGACCGGGGUGCUCUGGACCGGGGUGCUCUGGACCAGGGUGCAAGUGAUGGACCCAAGAAGGCACUGUCCAGGAGGGCAGCACCCCACACGUGGUCCAGGGCCCUCUCAGAGACCUUGGACAGGGAGGCUCCAUCCAGAAACCUGGGGGGAAAGGAACAGCUUAGGCAGGCUCCUAAGGGGCAGGAUCCCUCCCAGAGUGGCAGGGGCUUGGGGCCCUGCUGAGGCCCCCCGGGUGCCCAGGGUCCACUGCUGGGUCAGUCAGCACCUCACCAGGCUCCCUUCUAGGACCUGGAAAACCCGGACAGGAGACCUUGAGAAUGGAGCCCCCCUGCCAGCCUCAGGCCAGGCUCCCAGGCUCCCGUCUCCCCACAGCCAGGCCCCUGCAAACCUGGCCCCAUGUGAACAGACAUGGGAGGUAGGAAAUAUUGGGUAUAAGACAGGCUACAAGGAUGUAUUACGCAACACAGAGAAUAUAGCCAGUAUUUUGCAAUAACCAUAAAUGAAGUGUAACCUUUAAAAUCAGUAUAAAAAAAUUUUCUAAUUCAUCAAUCCAUGUGCUUCCCUGGUGGCCUAGGAUACAGGGGUUCGAUUCCUGAUCCAGAAGAUCCCACUUGCGCAGCACAGCUGAGCCCAGGCACCACAACUCCUGAGCCUGUGAUCCUGAGCCUGGGAGCCGAACCCACUCAGCCCACGUGUUGCAGCUACGAAGCCCGCUUGCCUCAGAGCCCGCGCUGCAAACCUACAGGAGCCGCUGCAAUGAGAAGCCUGCGUGCAGCAAGGAGAGAAAAGCCCCAGCAGCGCUGAUGAACCAGCGCAGCCAAAGUAACAAAUAAGUAAAAUUGUUUCUAAAAGUCAUCAAUCCGGGAGGCGUAAGGAGAAGAAUCACGCCCCCCUCUCUGUGGCUGUUGCUGCUGUAGACAGGCGCUAUCCAGGGGAUGAGGGGCAGGCGACUCGUCCUCAGGGACCACUCCCCCCCAGGAGCCCGGUGGUGGUCGGGGGGCUGUGCCACCCCCACUGGAGCCAUUACCCUUUUGAACUAUCUGUUGGGGGUGGGGGGCAGAUCAGAGGGUUAAAACAGGAAGAAGGAGCUGAAUUACCCCCAGGCUCCCGGGAAACCCACGAGAAUCAGACGGGAGGAACUGCCACGAAGAUCACCGAGCACAUGGCUGGGAAACAGAACUAAAACAUGAAAACGGAUCGUCUUAUUACAGAUGGUCACGAAUGAGAAGCCAGCGUGGGAGAAGGAAGCCCAGGUGAUGGUCGGCCCAGACAAGGGGGUCAGCUCCGGAGUGGACUCUGAGAAGGACCCCACACCUGCGGAGGGGCCUCUCGCAGCCCUCCUGAGGACACGCGGUCACAGGCAAACGCAGAAACACCCGCGCGGCCCUGGAUGCCGAGGCAGAACCCAGGACGCCAGCCUGCAGCCUGAGCGAGUCUUCGGAGUUUCCGGGCCCAGCGCCGCCUGGAACGGCGCCCGCGGGUGGACUAGAGAGAUGCUCAGCUGCGGGCAGAGAGGACCAAGGCCGUGCCGCCGUCUGCAGAGGGCACGGGCAUGCCAGGUCCCCGGAGGAGCUGCAGCCUCACUGUGCAUCGCAGGCUCAUUCCCUCAGGAAGACGGAGGACACAGCGUGGCUCUGCUGGCCUGUCCCCUUGUCCUCCGCCGGCAGUGACGCGGCUGCAGGCUCACAGCACAAGCGUGCUCUGGCCCCAGACACCACCCGGCAGAUCAGCGGCCUCUCCCAGUGCCCGCCUGCUUCCUUGGCACGCCCUGCUCGCCCAGGCGGGCACCCCAGACGCCUGCCCAACCCCAGCCCAGAGUGCUGCAUCCAGUGGUCCCGGAAGACCCCCACGCCAGGAAUGGCCGCUGACCGGCUGAAGACCACGGCCACUUUCCAGGCUGACCCCACGCCAGGAAUGGCCGCUGACCGGCUGAAGGCCACGGCCACUUUCCAGGCUGGGAACUUGGAGCAACAAAGCAAAGCCCUCUCCAGUCUCCUUCCUGGAGGGUCUCAGAAGACGCCCCCGCUUGUCAUCUCAAAGGGGCUCAGAGCCCCAGGUCUGGCCCCUGGCACUUCUGGAGUAGGCUGGGGAUCCUGCCAACAGCCAGGCGGUCGGGCCGGCCCCCGCAGUGGGGGAGCAGGCUGCCCCGAAGUGCGCUCGGGCCUGGAGGCCAAGGGCACAGCCACCAGCAUAAGGCUGGCCUCCCCAUAGCCCAGACAUGGUGACGUCCCUCCCGAGCCCACGCUGCAGCCCGAAACCCCUCCCUCCACAGAGACCGCCUCGCCCUCAGCAGCUCAGGGGCACAGCAGCUGCUCUCAGCCCCAGCUGUUCACUGCCCUGGACCACCGACGACUCCCUCAGGACUUCUGACUUAGCAGACGGGUUAGGCCGGCUCCUGGCCCAGGUACAGCCAAAGACUCGCCCCCUCACCCCAGGGAGAGACGCCAGGAGGGUCCUUGCAGCCCCUCCCCGUUCCAUCAACAAGGGUUAAUUAAAACGCAUGUGGUUCCGAGAAGUGACUGGAAGGGGGGCUGUGGUCUAUUAACUUAUCGUCUCCACUUCCACUGGGCGCGGGGUUCACACAUCUGCAGAUCAUCAGAGCGGAGAUUUCUGGCAAAGGAUGGCUUUGGUCCCCUGCAAGACGGUGUUUCCCAGGUGAACGCCCUAAACGGAGUGGUUAAAAGUGAAAAGCAUAAAUACCCACCCACCAAACGGAGUAAAAAUGGAAAUGUCUCCUGCUUGCGGAGGUGAGCCCGGAGCUUUGCAUCCGUUAACCUUCCCUGGGGGGCCUCUCGUCCCUUGCGAUGAUGGGCGGCCACCGAGACGGCGGACGGCCUGACCUUUAUUCAGCUAAAAGCAUGGGGCCCUGGGUGUUAAGUGGAUGUCACUCCGGGAUGGAAUUGAUCCUAGAAUGAGAAGCUCUGGAGCUGUCUUAGAUAAUGUGAUGGCAAAUGGACUCGGUGUGCUUGGCUCGGGCAAAUUAAACAAAACCCAAUGCAAAUAGUCCUUCCCCUGCUGAGCUGCUUCAGAGACAAGCAGCUCCUCUCCUCUGAAAGAAGGCCUGGUCCUCGGAGACCCAGCGGCUUUCACAGGAUUUUGGAGGGAAAUCCCUGAGCUUGCUGCACAAGGAAACUCCUGGGGGCAGUCAGGUCGACCUUAAUGUCUUCACUCUGAAGGAGUGGCUUUGAAUCUGAAAAAAUAAAUAUACGUAUAUUAAAAUAGUUAAGGAUACUUUUAAGAAGAUUCACAGGAAAGCACUUGCCCCACCAAAAUCAAACAAAGAACGGCAGGCGGUAACAUGGACACAGGCCCCUUCUCAGAGACGGCAGUCACCAACACGGGGUAAACGGCCAAAGCCACGUAAAGACACCGGGAAGCCCGCAGAGCACACGGAGGAGAGAGGCUCAAGCUCGGGGAAAGGCGUCUGGGAAGAGGAGGCGUCAGGGCCCGUCUUCCUGGACCACCACCUUCAGGGAGCACAGAAGGCAAGGCCCGGCCGGCCAGGCCGACAGGCCCGGGGUCAGUGUCCAGGCCCCCCACCCCGUCCAGCAGACUCACCACCUACAGGGAGCGCAGAAGGCAAGGCCCGGCCGGCCAGGCUGACAGGCCCGGGGUCAGUGUCUAAGCCCACCGUCCAGCAGACUCACCACCUACAGGGAGCGCAGAAGGCAAGGCCCCGCCGGCCAGGCUGACAGGCCUGGGGUCAGUGUCCAGGCCCCCCACCCCGUCCAGCAGACUCAGCACCUUCAGGGAGUGCAGAAGGCAAGGCCCGGCCGGCCAGGCUGACAGGCCUGGGGUCAGUGUCCAGGCCCCCCACCCCGUCCAGCAGACUCAGCACCUUCAGGGAGUGCAGAAGGCAAGGCCCGGCCGGCCAGGCUGACAGGCCCAGGGUCAGUGUCUAGGCCCACCGUCCAGCAGACUCACCACCUACAGGGAGUGCAGAAGGCAAGGCCCGGCCGGCCAGGCCGACAGGCCCGGGGUCAGUGUCCAGCAGAUUCCCCUUCUGGGCCUUGGGGCAGCCUCCAGGGCCCUGAACGAGAAAUCUUUUUAGGACAAAGCCAAGUCAAAGCCACAGUAUCAUGAUUUCUGAUAAAUUAAUGCUGUAUGCAGAAGUAAAGACAAGGGGAAAAUCAAACGUGGUUGGGGUGUAUUUAAAAUGUGUCGCAUUUAAUUCACACCUAAGUUGUGACUUGUUUCUUUUGCUUUGCUGAAAAGGUCUUCCCAUUUUUUAAGCUGUCAAAGGAAAGAGCAAGUGAAGGGAAAUUAGAAAUAAAGUAAGGACUUCCUGUGGUGGUCCAGACGUUAAGACUGCGCCCUCCCAGCGCAGGGGCCUGGGUUUGAUCCCGGUCAGGAAACCACAUGCUUAACCAGGAGUUCACGCACCACAAUGAGGACCCGGUGCAGUCAAAUAAAGUGAUUAACUGAAAUUUAAAAAAAAAGAAAAAGAAAAUAACGGAUUAGAGAGUGAUGUUGCCGUUCUUCCAAAAGGUACACAUAGAAAUGCCGCACGACCCAGUGAUUCCACUCCUCGGCUUUACCCGGGAGACAUGGGACAGCAGACGGUGGGGACAGCCCCAGGGUCCUCAGCUGAGGACACAGAGGCAGUCUGUCCAUAAAGUGCGUGGACUGACCAUCCGGCCUUAAGAAGGGAUGGAGCCUCACGCUCGCUGCAGCACCGUGAACCCUGCAGACAGUCUGCUCAGUGAAGGGUGCUGGAUGCAAAGGGCAGAUACUGUGUGAAUCCAUUUAUGGGAAAUGUCAGGACAGGCAAACCCACGGAGACAGAAAGCAGGUUUUGCUUCCAGGGGCUGGGGGAAGACAGGAGGGGCGUCAGAGCUGCACGGGUAGGGAGGAACCCUUGGAGUGAUGACGUGUUUCAGAACGCUAUAGGGGUGGUGGUCCCAAAAUACCGUGAGUGUGCCACACACCCCCGAACCGUUCACUUUAAAAUGGUCGUGUUACACGAAUCCCACUUCAGUAAAAUGAAACAAGUCGUGGAAGUUACGGAGAUGAUCCUAAGAACUGCCAGAGCUGUGUGCAAACUCAGAAGCCUCCCCAGGCCAAGGUGCAGGCAGUCCCUGACUCCAGGCAAUGGCCCGUGUCCCCCAGGCUUGAUCCCCACGAGGGUGGCAUCCUGAUGAUGGCCUCUUGCCCCUUCAGACUAACUCAGUCUGGCAGGGACACAGACGUCAGUGCUCAGCAGGCUGAGAGCAGGCGGAAUGCUGGUCCCCCUCUGCUGACGCCCUUGGCCAUUCCCCACACCCCCACCCGUUAUACGCAGAGCUCUCAUUUGAUGCCUGAUAACCCAGUACAGGUCAAGUCUCACCUGCCAUGAGUCCUUCCCACUUGCAUCAGAGAACUGGCUUAUGGUUUCAAGAGUUUGUUCGUGGUCCCAAAUUAUUUGUAUGUCUGUCUGUCUGUGGGGCCGGCGGGGCAGCCUCUCCCUCUUCUGGUCUCAGAGAAAGUCCCUUUCGGUCACAGGCGAGCCUGGGUUUGCCAUCUGAGCAGGCUCGGCCCGCAUGCCCACUUAAUCUAAACCAUUAAGAUGUUCUGGGCGGAUCAGAUCGUUUCGGGCCGCACGCCGUCCCCGGGCCCAGGCACCCAACAGCCGCCACGUCUGACUACACGGUGCCGCGCUGAGCUGACUGGCCGUGCGGGGCUGUUUGCGUGGGCGAUGAGGGUGCAGUGAUCCAGAAAGAACGCGGGUCCAGGCAGGCAGCUCUUUCCCUAACACCCUGCUCCGCAGUCAGGAAAUACAGCGCCCGCACCCCUGGGGGUGUGAACACUCUGUUAAAACCAGCAACCAGGAGGGAAGAGAUCCAGAGAUGUGGCCGCAUCACGGAUGCAGAG